CAUAAAAAAAUAAACAUAAAAGUAUCAAAAAAAUAAACAAUAAAGAAAGAUUAAAAUAAUAAAUGAAUAAAUAAUAUAUAAAUAAGUAAAUGAAUAAAUAAAUGAAUAAAAUAAAAGGAAUAAUGAAUAAAUAAACAAGUGAAAAAAAGCUUAAUUGUAACUUAAGCAAAAUUAAAAGAACAGAUUGAAUAAAAUAAAAUAGCAAAAGGGCUAAUUUAAAGCUUAAAUUAAACUUUAGGGGCAAAAUCAGGGUAAAAAUAAAAUAAAGGACCACAUCGUAACACGCGAAUAAAAGGGAGGGACCAAAUGGAAAAUAUUCCACGUCCUCCAAAACGCGCAAUUCCAAGGUGGACUGAAAUGAAACAAAGCUGAAAUUAUAGGGCAAAAUUUAAAAAAAAUAAAAAUAAAAAAGGACUAAACUAAAACAAACCAAAAAUACGGGAGGUCUAGGGGCGUAAAUAGCACAAAAAAUG
Molecule: long non-coding RNA, 473 nt
Filed under: Gossypium raimondii (Peruvian cotton)
Lineage: Eukaryota; Viridiplantae; Streptophyta; Magnoliopsida; Malvales; Malvaceae
Description: long non-coding RNA (GRAI_LNC010489)
Source: RNAcentral